RNAcentral lists this ribosomal RNA (589 nucleotides) under Aspergillus sp. Su2. RNAcentral's name for it is "eukaryotic LSU rRNA". The stretch from base 239 to 392 matches the Rfam family "5.8S ribosomal RNA". The record is from RNAcentral. Lineage: Eukaryota; Fungi; Ascomycota; Eurotiomycetes; Eurotiales; Aspergillaceae.
UGGAAGUUAAAAAUAACAAGGUUUCCGUAGGUGAACCUGCGGAAGGAUCAUUACCGAGUGAGGGCCCUCUGGGUCCAACCUCCCACCCGUGUCUAUCGUACCUUGUUGCUUCGGCGGGCCCGCCGUUUCGACGGCCGCCGGGGAGGCCUUGCGCCCCCGGGCCCGCGCCCGCCGAAGACCCCAACAUGAACGCUGUUCUGAAAGUAUGCAGUCUGAGUUGAUUAUCGUAAUCAGUUAAAACUUUCAACAACGGAUCUCUUGGUUCCGGCAUCGAUGAAGAACGCAGCGAAAUGCGAUAAGUAAUGUGAAUUGCAGAAUUCAGUGAAUCAUCGAGUCUUUGAACGCACAUUGCGCCCCCUGGUAUUCCGGGGGGCAUGCCUGUCCGAGCGUCAUUGCUGCCCUCAAGCACGGCUUGUGUGUUGGGCCCCCGUCCCCCUCUCCCGGGGGACGGGCCCGAAAGGCAGCGGCGGCACCGCGUCCGGUCCUCGAGCGUAUGGGGCUUUGUCACCUGCUCUGUAGGCCCGGCCGGCGCCAGCCGACACCCAACUUUAUUUUUCUAAGGUGACCUCGGAUCAGGUAGGAAUCCCCA